AGGGCGCACGGUGGAUGCCUUGGCACUAGAAGCCGAUGAAGGACGUGACUAACGACGAAAUGCUUUGGGGAGCUGUAAGUGAGCAAUGAUCCAGAGAUGUCCGAAUGGGGGAACCCGGCAGGUAAUGCCUGUCACUCAUUACUGUUAAGGUAAUGUAGAGGAAGACGCAGUGAACUGAAACAUCUAAGUAGCUGUAGGAAGAGAAAGCAAAAGCGAUUGCCUUAGUAGCGGCGAGCGAAACGGCAAGAGGGCAAACCGAAGAGUUUACUCUUCGGGGUUGUAGGACUGCAACGUGGACUUAAAGAUUAUAGAAGAACUACCUGGGAAGGUAGGCCAAAGAGAGUAAUAGCCUCGUAUUCGAAAUAGUCUUUAUACCUAGCAGUAUCCUGAGUACGGCGAGACACGAGAAAUCUCGUCGGAAUCUGGGAGGACCAUCUCCCAACCCUAAAUACUCUCUAGUGACCGAUAGUGAACCAGUACCGUGAGGGAAAGGUGAAAAGCACCCCGGGAGGGGAGUGAAACAGUACCUGAAACCGUGCGCCCACGAGCAGUCGGAGCACCCUUCGGGGUGUGACGGCGUGCCUUUUGUAGAAUGAGCCAGCGAGUCGCUGGCGCGGGGCGAGGUUAACCGAAAGGGAGCCGGAGCGAAAGCGAGCCUUAACAGGGCGACUUGAGUCCCGCGCCGCGGACGCGAAGCCGGGUGAGCUAUCCGUGGGCAGGCUGAAGCGGGGGUAAGACCCCGUGGAGGGCCGAACGCACGUCGGUUGAAAACGGCGGCGAUGACCUGCGGAUAGGGGUGAAAGGCCAAUCAAACCCGGAGAUAUCUCGUUCUCCCCGAAAUAGCUUUAGGGCUAGCGUCGCGCGUUCACCGCCGGAGGUAGAGCACCGGAUGGACGAGGGGGCUUCGCCGCCUACCGAAUCCAACCGAACUCCGAAUGCCGGCGGCCCAGAGCGCGGCAGUCAGAGCAUGUGGGCUAAGCUGUGUGCUCGAGAGGGAAACAGCCCGGACCGCCCGCUAAGGUCCCCAAGUUCCAGCCGAGUGGCAAAGGAUGUGCGUCCGCCCAGACAACCAGGAUGUUGGCUUAGAAGCAGCCAUCCAUUCAAAGAGUGCGUAACAGCUCACUGGUCGAGUGGACAUGCGCCGACAAUACACGGGGCUAAGCUGGACACCGAAGCGGCGGGAUUUUACCUAAGUAGAAUCGGUAGGGGAGCUUCCCAUGGGCGGAGAAGCCGGAGGGCGACCGACGGUGGAGCGCAUGGGAGUGAGAAUGCUGGCAUGAGUAGCGAGAGACGAGAGAGUAACUCGUCCGCCGUGAACCCGAGGUUUCCUGGGCAAGGCUAAUCCUCCCAGGGUCAGUCGGGGGCUAAGGCGAGGCCGGUAGGCGUAGCCGACGCGCAGCAGGCAGACAUUCCUGCACCGCGCACGCGGCGCUACGACCGACGGGGCGACGGAUGGGGGUGGCUCGGCGGGGUUCUGGACGUCCCCGUGAUGGAGCGCGGCCCGCGGACCAGGGAAAUCCGGUCCGCACACAGGGCGAGGCUCCGGACGAAGCGACUGAGCGAAGCGAGUGAGCCCGAGGUCCCUAGAAAAACCCCUAGGCAGGCGCGUGCGCGCCCGUACCGCAAACCGACACAGGUGGGUGGGUAGAACAUACCGAGGCGAUCGGGUCAACCAUGGUCAAGGAACUCGGCACAAUGGCCCCGUAACUUCGGGAGAAGGGGUGCCCGCGCGUACGUGAACCGGCUUGCCCGGGGAGCGGAGGCGGGCCGCAGUGGAGAGGCCCAAGCGACUGUUUACCAAAAACACAGGACUCUGCAGAAGCCGCAAGGCGACGUAUAGGGUCUGACGCCUGCCCGGUGCCGGAAGGUCACGCGGAGGAGUUAGCCGUUAAGGCGAAGCCCCGAAGCCAAGCCCCGGUAAACGGCGGCCGUAACUAUAACGGUCCUAAGGUAGCGAAAUUCCUUGUCGGGUAAGUUCCGACCUGCACGAAAGGCGCAACGACUUGGGCGCUGUCUCGACCAUGGACCCGGUGAAAUUGCACUGGUCGUGAAGAUGCGACUUACCCGCGGAAGGACGGAAAGACCCCGUGAACCUUCACUGCAGCUUGGCAUUGGCCGCUGGUCCCGCGUGUAGAGGAUAGGCAGGAGGCACAGAUCCGGAGGCGCCAGCCCCCGGGGAGCCGCCCUUGGAAUACUGCCCUCGCGCGACCGGCGUCCUAACCCGAGGCCGUCAACCGGCUCGGGGACCGUGCCAGGCGGGCAGUUUGACUGGGGCGGUCGCCUCCUAAAAAGUAACGGAGGCGUUCAAAGGUUCGCUCAGCUUGAACGGAAAUCAAGCAAAAGAGUGCAAACGCAGAAGCGAGCCUAACUGCGAGACUGACGGGUCGAGCAGUAACGAAAGUUGGAGUUAGUGAUCCGGUGGUAUGUGAGUGGAAAUGCCAUCGCUCAACGGAUAAAAGUUACCCUGGGGAUAACAGGCUGAUCUCCCCCAAGAGUCCACAUCGACGGGGAGGUUUGGCACCUCGAUGUCGGCUCAUCGCAUCCUGGGGCUGUAUUCGGUCCCAAGGGUUUGGCUGUUCGCCAAUUAAAGCGGUACGCGAGCUGGGUUCAGAACGUCGUGAGACAGUUCGGUCCCUAUCUGUCGUGGGCGCAGGAUAUUUGAUGGGAGCUGUCCCUAGUACGAGAGGACCGGGACGGACGUACCUCUGGCGCACCAGUUGUUCUGCCAAGAGCAUAGCUGGGCAACUACGUACGGAUCGGAUAAACGCUGAAAGCAUCUAAGCGUGAAGCCGACCCAAAGAUAAGAUAUCCCAUUGU
This 2817-nucleotide ribosomal RNA is filed under the name human gut metagenome. RNAcentral describes it as "bacterial LSU rRNA". It matches the Rfam family "Bacterial large subunit ribosomal RNA". The record is from RNAcentral.